This is a non-coding RNA of Acanthosepion pharaonis, 98 nucleotides long. NCBI's taxonomy places the organism in Eukaryota, Metazoa, Mollusca, Cephalopoda, Sepiida, Sepiidae. The record is from the annotation of a GenBank genome assembly.
AUUGAAACACCGGUUCCCGUACGAUCACCGAAGUUAUGAAACGUUGACCCUGGUCACUAUCUAGAUGGGUGACCGCUUGGGAAUAUCAGGAGCUGUAA